This 254-nucleotide ribosomal RNA is filed under the name uncultured bacterium. RNAcentral describes it as "partial 16S ribosomal RNA". It matches the Rfam family "Bacterial small subunit ribosomal RNA", at positions 524 to 776 of the family's 1533-position model. The record is from RNAcentral.
GACGAACCGUGCGAACGUUAUUCGGAAUGACUGGGCUUAAAGCGCGCGUAGGCGGAUGGCCGCGUCGGUUGCUGAAAGCCCCCGGCUCAACCGGGGAAGGGGCACCGAAACGGGCCGUCUGGAGUGGAGGAGGGGGAUCUGGAACUCCCGGUGGAGCGGUGAAAUGCGUUGAGAUCGGGAGGAACGCCGGCGGCGAAAGCGGGAUCCUGGACUUCAACUGACGCUGAGGCGCGAAAGCCAGGGGAGCGAACGGG